CCUACGGGAGGCUGCAGUGGGGAAUAUUGGACAAUGGGCGAAAGCCUGAUCCAGCCAUGCCGCGUGUGUGAAGAAGGCCUUCGGGUUGUAAAGCACUUUCAGUGGGGAAGAAAGCCUUGGGGCUAAUACCCUCGAGGAAGGACAUCACCCACAGAAGAAGCACCGGCUAACUCCGUGCCAGCAGCCGCGGUAAUACGGAGGGUGCGAGCGUUAAUCGGAAUUACUGGGCGUAAAGCGCGCGUAGGCGGUCUGAUAAGCCGGUUGUGAAAGCCCCGGGCUCAACCUGGGAACGGCAUCCGGAACUGUCAGGCUAGAGUGCAGGAGAGGAAGGUAGAAUUCCCGGUGUAGCGGUGAAAUGCGUAGAGAUCGGGAGGAAUACCAGUGGCGAAGGCGGCCUUCUGGACUGACACUGACGCUGAGGUGCGAAAGCGUGGGUAGCAAACAGGAUUAGAUACCCUGGUAGC
RNAcentral lists this ribosomal RNA (464 nucleotides) under Vreelandella stevensii. Its description in RNAcentral is "partial 16S ribosomal RNA". It matches the Rfam family "Bacterial small subunit ribosomal RNA", at positions 338 to 794 of the family's 1533-position model. The record is from RNAcentral. Lineage: Bacteria; Pseudomonadati; Pseudomonadota; Gammaproteobacteria; Oceanospirillales; Halomonadaceae.